Molecule: long non-coding RNA, 199 nt
Filed under: Physcomitrium patens
Lineage: Eukaryota; Viridiplantae; Streptophyta; Bryopsida; Funariales; Funariaceae
Description: long non-coding RNA (PPAT_LNC002397)
Source: RNAcentral
AGUAUAAGAGUUUUGUGGGUUAUAGUCUUGAAAAUUAGGGUUUGAAUAGCUGGUGAGAAUUUCUAAGAUAUCUAUCAAUCCACUAGUUGGAUUGAAAUUCAAUUUAAUUCAUAGGUAGUUAGAUUGACUUUCAACAAUUAUACAAAGUUUGAAAUUAAUUGAAUGGUAAAAUUAAGAGAUUACGGUCCAAAAAUAUCAA